AGGGAGGGAGGGAGGGAGAGAGAGAGAGAGAGAGAGAGAGAGAGAGAGAGAGAGAGAGAGAAUCUUCAGCAGGCUCCAGGCUCAGCCCAGAGCCAGAUGUGGGGAUAGAUCCCAUGACCUUGGGAUUAUGACCUGACUUGAAAUCAGAGUCAGACGCUCAACUAACUGGGCCAGCCAGAAGCCCCUGGAUACAUUCUUGUAAAGAUUCAUGAUGCUGAGUAAAAGAUUCCUGCUUAGAAACCACAGCUCUCCCCGGGAGCCCUUCAGGGUACUGAGACCAGAAUUUUGGUGACAGCCUUCAGAGGCACAGAAGCACAAAUCUGCAGCGUUUUCCUACAAGGCACCGAGUCUUUCUGGUGAAAAGGGGCGGACGAAGUGACAGAUGGGCACGAGGCCUGGGGGAUCAGGGCCAACUGAAGCUUGCCCCCAUAUUCUGGCAGCGUACGGAGUUGGGUAAAAGGGGCAGUCCGGACCGCGGGGUGCCGGUUGGGGACGGGGGGACGAUGCUGGGUGAUUUAGGCUUCGUGAUCUGAGGGUGGUCCGGGCCCCUGGGCGAGUCAGUGCCACCCCCGGCCCAUCAGCACCCCCGCGGCCGCCGCGCCGUCCCAGCGUGCCAGUGACUCAGCAGCGGCGAUCCCGAUAGGCCGCCCCGCGCACCCGCUCACCGGUUGAAAUGAUCCACCACACUGAGCAGCACCAAGGGGUGAACUACCACCUUCUGCACAGCCAGCUCCGGCAUCGCGACACACGCCGCCCGCCAGGCCCCGCUCCUUGCGACCCGCAAACACCGGCAGCCUCAGGGACUCUCGCGGAUCCUCCAGGCCCGGCUCCUCCUCUUCCGGCUCGGCCGCCGCCACGGUUCCCUUUUUCCGCUCCCAGAGCGCCCCGCGCGCCGCCCCGGGUUUUCGCGCCAGCUGCCAUCUUGAGGACGGGAAAGGCCGGGGGCAGGUGGGGCCCGCCUUGGGUGACUCGCUGGGAGAUUUCCUGGUCUUCGAAGCUAAAGGCACACUGGAGACUGAGAAAAAGGUUGACCUCCUGGUAUUGGGCCUGCGCUGUCACUUGCAGCGGCCUUUCGCUUUAGUUCCUUCGCAGUUCACAACCUCCCCCAACCCUUACGCUGUGUGAAGACUGCAGAAAAAAAUACUAGAAAAAAAUAGUAAUUCAUAUCCACCACCCAGAAAAUGUUCACCUUUGUUUCAUGUCAGAAUUCUCCAGAAUUUAACUCUAAAUCUCUAGGGAUGCCUGGCAGGCUCAGUUGGUAGAGCCUGCAACUCUUGAUCUAAGGGUGGGAAUUCAAGUCCUACAUUGGGUGUAGAGCUUACUUCAAAACAAAACCUCAGAAGGGAUGAAUCUCUAGCAUGAGGGCACAUUCUUAAAGUGGGUUUGGUAAAUUUAUCUCAUUUUUAUUGUUGGGGAAUUUCCCCUUAAUAUUUACUGUGGACACUUUGCGGAUAAUCAACCUGUUUUUAUUUUUCCACUUGUUUAUAUUACCAUUUAACUGGGGCUAGAAAAGUUCAACUUGUGCCUUGAGUCAGACCAUUCGGGUUGUUUUUCACAUAAAAGCUUAGGUAAGGGUUGAAGUAACUGAAAAGUAAUACGAACUAUGUUUUGAUAUUUAGCUAGGAAAGAAAAAGUCUAAGGAUAAUGUAGCAGGUGAAGACAAGCAUAUUUGCAGAAAGGCAAAUUAUUUAAAUUUCGUGCAAGUUUACAUUUCUAAUUCUGAGUUGUAUGUGUAAACAAAAACAAUACCUAAGCGUCUUGAAUGCUUUGCUUAUUGUUUGCCCUGUCUUUAAACAACUGUUACCUUCCCGGUAGCUCCAGAGGAUCUGACCUCUCUGAAGAAUAACCCGGAGCCUUUUGCUCUGAAUCUUGGCCUCCUUCCAGUAUAAUCAGGGAGCUUUGAGUAUUCUUUUCUGGGUCCUACCCAUUAAAUUAAUUAAAUGCACUCUUCCUCCUUUUGGGAACAUUGCUUUGCAUUUUCAUUUGUUUUAAUAUUUGUGAUUUGGUUAAUAGUAAUUGCUACUACUUGAGAAAACAGAACUUUAAGAUUAAGAAAAUGUAAGUCAGUCCCCAUUGUGUGAUGUGGUAAAGCAUGCUUGAGGGGUUUUAGUGCCUGUUUUAAAGUAGAUAUUCUUGGGGUUCCUGAGUGGCUUAGUGGAUUAAGCAGCCAACUCUUUGGCAUCUGCCGAAGUCAUGAUCUGGAGCCCCAUGUCGUGCUCUGUGCUCACCGCACGGAGACUGCUUCGGAUCCUAUGUCUCUCUUUCUGGCCCUUUCCCACUUGCUCUCUCUCUCUCUCAAAAAUAAAUAAACAUUAAAAAAAAUUACAAAGUAGA
This is a long non-coding RNA of Neofelis nebulosa (Clouded leopard), 2334 nucleotides long. RefSeq lists it as uncharacterized. The record is from RefSeq and is a predicted model, not a curated record. NCBI's taxonomy places the organism in Eukaryota, Metazoa, Chordata, Mammalia, Carnivora, Felidae. The transcript is spliced from 2 exons.